UCGGGGGUAGCUCAAUCGGUAGAGCAUCUGACUGUUAAUCAGAGGGUUGGCGGUUCGAGUCCGCCCCCCCGAG
Non-coding RNA from Solirubrobacterales bacterium 67-14, 73 nucleotides. Lineage: Bacteria; Bacillati; Actinomycetota; Thermoleophilia; Solirubrobacterales. The record is from Rfam.